AUGCGGAGUGAGCAGGGUCGUGAGCGCCACGUUCUCCCGUCUGCGGCCCGGCGCCCCUCCCCGCCCGGCCGGCCCUGUCUCGGUUGUGCCAUCCAAGCCCUCUCAGCUGGGCUCCUGGCUGUGCAGGAUCCGUUUCCUCCCAGCCUCUGCAUCCCAGCGGCCCUGGAAUCCUCUGGCCGCGGCUUCCUGCCUCUCUCCAAGCAUCCUCGUGUUUUAUUCAUCGCCGGCGGUUUCAGCGUUCGCCUGUUUGAACCGGGGCUGAGCCACGCUUUCCUCGGCCUUGCAGGUCAGAGCGGGCGAGCCACGUCCCCGGGGCUGGGACGUCGGUUUCAGUCUGUUCUGCCGAUCAGCUCCUGCUUGGGGGAACCGUGUGUUCUUAAACCUCCUGGCAAGCAGCCAGCAUUGCGAACGGCUUUUGCGUCUGCUGGCUCGGAAUCGAGCCAGGAGGGCUGCACCUCCCACCUGGUGAAGCUCGCGGGCAGUCGGUGCAGCGCUGGGACCCGGGAGACGCGUGCAAAGGACUCAGCCCGUGACCGUAAGGGUGACAGCCCCCGUCGCUCCAGCAGUGUGUCCCUGCAUGUGGCGUGCCCUGCGUGUGGGUGGCCAGAUUUGCAGGGUGGCACCGGGCGCCGAGCCUGCGUGUGUCAGGAGGGCGGUGCUGGAGAAUCACACCUUAGCAGCCGCGUUCCUCUGCACGGGACUUUCUUUACAGGUGCACGAAUCUCAACUGAGUUGCAACAGUGCGUGAGUCUUCAAACACGUGCCAUGUGGGGCAUUUCUACACGCGUGCGUGCCUGUCUAACCCCAAGCGUGACCAAGACACAAAGACUGGGGCCUGCACUGUGGUGCCUGCGACACCAGCAUCCCGUAUGGGUACUGGUUUGAGCUCAGGCUGCUCCACUUCCGAUCCAGCUCUCUGCUGUGGCCUGGGACAGCAGUGGAGGAUGCCCCAAGUGCUUGGAUCCCUGCACCCACGUGGGAGACCCCGAAGAAGCUCCUGGCUUCAGAUUGGCCCAGAUCUGGCCCUUCUGGCCAUCUGGGGAAUGAACCACUAGAUGGAAAACUCUCUCUCUCUCUCUCCACCUCCCAUCUUUCCCUCUCUUUGUGUGAUUCUGACUUUCAAAUGAAUAACUUUAACAAAAAAAUGUAUGAAGACUGUUCUGCAGCCGCCAGGCCGUGCCUCCCGCCGAGGCAGCCCCUGUGCCCGCAGACGGGUUUCCUUGUUUCAGAAUUCUGUGUAUGGAACCACGCAUCCUGACCGCGUCCUUCUGUGUAUGGAAUCGCGCAUCCUGACCGUGCCCCCCCACCAUACUCUUGUGCAGGGGGGGCUGUUAAUUUCCACUGCUGUGUGCUCUUGCGCGGUGGGGCUGCGCCACGCCCCCACCCGCUCUGCCGAGGCCGGCACUUGGCCUGUCGCCCGCUCUGCUUGUUGGUGGCUGCUGGGAGCUGCGUGGCUCUCAGCCCGUGGGCCGGGUGCUGUGGCGGCGCAGCAGGUUGAGCCUCCCUUGAGACAUCCGCAGCCCACGGCAGGUACCCGCUCGAGUCCCGGCUCCGCUGGUCCCAGCCCUGCUUCCUGGUAACGCACACCCGGGAGGCAGCAGCUGACGGACGGUUCAAGCCCUCGUGUCCCCGCCAGGCACGGGGAGACCUGGAGGCAGUCCCGCUCCUGGCUCCGCUGGCCCAGCCCUCGCUGUUGGGGGCAUCUGGGGAGUGAACCAGCGGAUGGAAAAAAUCUCUCUUCUCCGUCUGUCUUUCUCUCUGUUGCUCUGCUUGUCAGAUAAAACGAAAACAAGAUUGGUUUCUGCCUUUUCU
Oryctolagus cuniculus (rabbit) is the source of this 1812-nucleotide long non-coding RNA. The record is from Ensembl. NCBI's taxonomy places the organism in Eukaryota, Metazoa, Chordata, Mammalia, Lagomorpha, Leporidae.